RNAcentral lists this ribosomal RNA (160 nucleotides) under uncultured bacterium. RNAcentral's name for it is "partial 16S ribosomal RNA". It matches the Rfam family "Bacterial small subunit ribosomal RNA", at positions 355 to 507 of the family's 1533-position model. The record is from RNAcentral.
UGGGGAAUUUUGGACAAUGGGCGAAAGCCUGAUCCAGCCAUGCCGCGUGUCUGAAGAAGGCCUUCGGGUUGUAAAGGACUUUUGUCAGGGAGCAAAACCGCGUCGCUAAUAACGGCGCGGAAUGAGAGUACCUGAAGAAUAAGCACCGGCUAACUACGUG